GCUGCCUCCAACAAGAGCCGCUAAAGGCUCAUGUCCGCUAAAUGUGAGGGACUGUCAGGUCCCCUACGUCUCCAACAAGGUCCUCUAAAGCGUCCCCUAAAUUAUAGAGGAUGUGCCAGAGACCCUAACUGUGGAGGCCGCCCACCGUGCGCUAUCCGCGCGACGGAUCCACCAGCCGCCGCGAGGAAACUUCCGCCUCCUCCUACCGCGCGCUGGCGACUACAUCUCCCGGGGCCGAGCCCUCAAUCCGGCGUGCUUCGUCGCCGGCAUCGAGGCAGGUGGGAGACAAGAGGGCUUGCGAGAGCGGACGCGGAGCAUGGCGGAGGAGCAGAUCGAAGAGGCGUCCAUGGCCAUCGCCGGACGCGGAGCAUCGUGGAGGAGCAGAUCGAAGAGGCGUCCAUGGCCACGGCGGCGGCCACGCCGUUCCAGCUCCAGUUCGACAAGCCCAUCCCGUUCCAGGGCAACGGCUGGUUCACGGAUGGGCAAGCUAGGCCAUUGCCCCAUCUCAAAUUUUACGAUCUACACAGGAUCAGAGAGGGAGUCAGGAAAGAAGGCGCUCAAAAGUCGGGACAAAAAUAUCUGAGUGAAUCGGACCUGCAGAAUGCGGACGGUCACCCAGAGAUUGAUCUUGCGUUCGUGCUGCUGCUGCCCCGCCGGUCACUGAUUUGAUUUUAUUGGUGAAUCGGUGCAGCCAAAAGAUAAAAAUGGCAGAAUGGAAUCCAGAGAAGGAUCUGCUUGCUAUGGUUACUGAUGACUCCAAGGUUCUCCUCCAUCGCUUCAAUUGGCAAAGGCUUUGGACAAUCUCUCUAGGGAAGUGCAUCACAUCAAUUUGUUGGAGCCCUGAUGGUAAAAUAAUAGCACUUGGCACAUAAGCUGGUUUGAUUCUUUUGCAUGAUGUGGAGGUGUGUAUCUGGAUGAUGAUAAAAAUUGUCGGUGUCUAUUGUAUCUUUGUAUGAACAUUCGUUUGUACUUCAUAGACACCUGAUCCAGUGCCUAUCUUCUCUUAAUAUUUUUCUAAUUGCUUAUUCUCAUUUUUAUAUCAUGCUUAAACCUUAUGAGCGAA
Molecule: RNA transcript, 1063 nt
Organism: Zea mays
Lineage: Eukaryota; Viridiplantae; Streptophyta; Magnoliopsida; Poales; Poaceae
Gene name: Anaphase-promoting complex subunit 4
Exons: 5
Source: RefSeq, a predicted model, not a curated record